Molecule: long non-coding RNA, 643 nt
Filed under: Homo sapiens (human)
Lineage: Eukaryota; Metazoa; Chordata; Mammalia; Primates; Hominidae
Description: HSALNT0336378
Source: RNAcentral
ACUCUCUCCAACAAAUAUGUUAUUUGUAAUAGCUAUCUUCUCUCAUCUAGGUGUUUGAAAAAUGUCUCUAACGUGUGUGGGCUGGAAUGCAUUUUGUUUUUUCUGCAGGUAUAUUCAUUUAACAAGGGGAGUCUCUGAGGAGCUAUCAAAAACUGCUUGCCAUCUUUCCAAAUCAUCUCUGUCUGCAGUGACCAUGUCUUAAUCCUGAAGGAAAACAAGGUGGAAAUUGAUUUUUACUUCUCUGCAGCUAAGUAUGUGGCAGUCUUGGCCACAUGGUGACUCAGCAGAGGAGCCUAUGUACUGGCUGUCCUGAUGCUCUUCCUGAUUCAACUGAUUCUCUACACUUGAUCUUAGCCAAAAGGCCGAGAAGCAAUGAUUCAACUGAUUCUCAAAAGGACACCGCUGCAGGAAUAAACCCACUUCUAAAUAUGGUACACUUGGAAAGUUGUCCAGCUCGCAAUGUCAGAGUCACAGACUUCAUGCACACUCAUCUCAAGUCAAUGUUAUCUAACACAUUUCCACUAAUUAUUGGAUGACACUAGCAAGAAACUCUGAUAUUUUUCACCUAACCUUUGCUAAUUUAAAUGUGGCCAGCCCACCCUCAUACUGCAUUGUGAUGGGGAUAUAAAAGCCAAUGAAAGAU